GACGACGACGGGUAGCCGGCCUGAGAGGGCGACCGGCCACACUGGGACUGAGACACGGCCCAGACUCCUACGGGAGGCAGCAGUGGGGAAUAUUGCACAAUGGGGGAAACCCUGAUGCAGCGACGCAGCGUGCGGGAUGACGGCCUUCGGGUUGUAAACCGCUUUCAGCAGGGAAGAAGCCUUUAUCGGUGACGGUACCUGCAGAAGAAGUACCGGCUAACUACGUGCCAGCAGCCGCGGUAAUACGUAGGGUACAAGCGUUGUCCGGAAUUAUUGGGCGUAAAGAGCUCGUAGGUGGUUGGUCACGUCUGCUGUGGAAACGCAACGCUUAACGUUGCGCGUGCAGUGGGUACGGGCUGACUAGAGUGCAGUAGGGGAGUCUGGAAUUCCUGGUGUAGCGGUGAAAUGCGCAGAUAUCAGGAGGAACACCGGUGGCAAAGGCGGGACUCUGGGCUGUAACUGACACUGAGGAGCGAAAGCAUGGGGAGCGAACAGGAUUAGAUACCCUGGUAGUCCAUGCCGUAAACGUUGGGCACUAGGUGUGGGGGACAUUCCACGUUCUCCGCGCCGUAGCUAACGCAUUAAGUGCCCCGCCUGGGGAGUACGGUCGCAAGGCUAAAACUCAAAGGAAUUGACGGGGGCCCGCACAAGCGGCGGAGCAUGCGGAUUAAUUCGAUGCAACGCGAAGAACCUUACCAAGGCUUGACAUACACCAGACCGUUCUGGAAACAGUUCCUCCCCUUUGGGGUUGGUGUACAGGUGGUGCAUGGUUGUCGUCAGCUCGUGUCGUGAGAUGUUGGGUUAAGUCCCGCAACGAGCGCAACCCUCGUUCUAUGUUGCCAGCACGUGAUGGUGGGAACUCAUAGGAGACUGCCGGGGUCAACUCGGAGGAAGGUGGGGAUGACGUCAAAUCAUCAUGCCCUUUAUGUCUUGGGCUUCACGCAUGCUACAAUGGCUGGUACAGAGAGAUGCGAGACCGCGAGGUUUUAGCGAAUCCCUUAAAGCCAGUCUCAGUUCGGAUCGUAGUCUGCAAUUCGACUACGGAAGUCGGAGUCGCUAGA
RNAcentral lists this ribosomal RNA (1061 nucleotides) under uncultured bacterium. Its description in RNAcentral is "bacterial SSU rRNA". It matches the Rfam family "Bacterial small subunit ribosomal RNA", at positions 272 to 1339 of the family's 1533-position model. The record is from RNAcentral.